RNAcentral lists this long non-coding RNA (1351 nucleotides) under Vitis vinifera (wine grape). Its description in RNAcentral is "long non-coding RNA (VVIN_LNC001806)". Lineage: Eukaryota; Viridiplantae; Streptophyta; Magnoliopsida; Vitales; Vitaceae. The record is from RNAcentral.
GGGAUUUAGGGUUUGAACCCAUUAAGGGGAAGCAUCUGUACCACAUCGGUUAGAGAAUUAACUAUAUGUUAAUUCUCUAAUGCGAGGAAAAGAAACAAGUGACCGGAACUUCCUUUUUGUAUGAGGAACCUGAGCCUAGUGAUCUAAACUCCAAGAGACACUUUUCUUUGUAAUUAAAAUCAGUUAUUAUUUUUUGUUAGCUUAAAACCAACCUUUUCAACUAAAGAUUAUGUUUUCUUUUAAAGCUAACCUUGAAAUGAAAAGGCACCAAUUCAUCUUUGAAUUAAUAUCAAUUGUGGAGUGAAAACCCAUCCCAGUGAACUAUCCUAGAGCCAUUAUGCUAUAGUAACUUUGUCUUUGCUACCCUAGUUCAUGGUGUAAUAGGUUAUAAAUUUUGUUCAUUGCUCCCUCAAUCAAGGAGCACUAGCUGGACAUGAAUCAGUUGAUACACCAAGUGGACACGAAUCAAAUGGCGUCGUUGCCGGGAACGAAUCAAAUGGCACUGUUGCUCGGGGACGAAUCACAAUGUCGAUGAACCUAGUGAUCAUCUUAACAAUAGUCUCAUUAUCUUUCAUAAAAAACAAUUCAUAAGUAUGAACAAGUAAAGUGAUUUUUGACCCUUUCACUUUAUUUGUUCCUUUACGAGUUAUUUCAAGCAAUCUCCAAAUUGUUUUAGCCGAUUUGUAUUGACAUAUUCUAUUAUAUUCAUUUCUAUUUAUAGAGCAUAGCAAAGUGUAAACAACCUUAGCAUUUAAUUGAAAAUUCCUUCUAUCACACUCAUCCUAUUCUUGCUUGGGUUUUGGAACCAUGACUCCAUCAACUAGUUUUGAAGGAAAAGUUGGGCCAUCUUCAAUGACGUCCCAUAAGUCUAAAUCGGUUGAUUGUAAAAGCCAAGUCAUUUUAGUUUUCAAUAGGAAUAAUCGGUUCCCGUAAAAAAAAUGGAGGUCUAUUUUUUGCAAAACUUUCAAUGUGAGAUGAGCUUGAUGGAAUAACCAUUUUCUCUUAAACGAUUAAGUCUUAAACAAGAGUCCUAGCUCUGAUACAAAUUGAGGACCUCAGGCGCUACCAACUCUCCUAAAAGCAAUUGUUGUUAGGAAAGGCGCAUACCCUAGCCUUAUAGUGCAUUCACCUAAGCACCCACAACGAACACAAGGGGAGUUGAUGGACGCAGCCAACCCUCCGAUCUGCCAACACCCACCAUUUUUAUUUUUAUUUUUUUGCUACAAUGAAUGACUCAUUAUCUCGCUCCUAUUGAAACUAUGUAAAUAGUAGACACAUCAAUUUUACUAAUUGUAAAAGCCCUAGAUUUGCAGAUAUUUUCCUUUUAAUCGAGAAACUUUUGUGAUUGAGC